RNAcentral lists this ribosomal RNA (492 nucleotides) under uncultured bacterium. Its description in RNAcentral is "partial 16S ribosomal RNA". It matches the Rfam family "Bacterial small subunit ribosomal RNA", at positions 29 to 507 of the family's 1533-position model. The record is from RNAcentral.
AGUGAACGCUGGCGGUAGGCCUAACACAUGCAAGUCGAACGGCAGCACAGUAAGAGCUUGCUCUUACGGGUGGCGAGUGGCGGACGGGUGAGGAAUACAUCGGAAUCUUCUUUUUCGGGGGGGAUAACGUAGGGAAACUUACGCUAAUACCGCAUACGAUCUACGGGUGAAAGCAGGGGAUCUUCGGACCUUGCGGGAUUGAAUGAGCCGAUGUCGGAUUAGCUAGUUGGGGGGGUAAAGGCCCACCAAGGCGACGAUCCGUAGCUGGUCUGAGAGGAUGAUCGGCCACACUGGAACUGAGACACGGUCCAGACUCCUACGGGAGGCAGCAGUGGGGAAUAUUGGGCAAUGGGCGCAAGCCUGAUCCAGCCAUGCCGCGUGGGUGAAGAAGGCCUUCGGGUUGUAAAGCCCUUUUGUUGGGAAAGAAAAGCAGCAGGUUAAUACCCCGCUGUUCUGACGGUACCCAAUGAAUAAGCACCGGCUAACUACGUG